This 433-nucleotide ribosomal RNA is filed under the name uncultured bacterium. RNAcentral's name for it is "partial 16S ribosomal RNA". It matches the Rfam family "Bacterial small subunit ribosomal RNA", at positions 29 to 507 of the family's 1533-position model. The record is from RNAcentral.
AACGAACGCUGGCGGCAUGCCUAACACAUGCAAGUCGAACGAGACCUUCGGGUCUAGUGGCGCACGGGUGCGUAACGCGUGGGAACCUGCCCUUAGGUUCGGAAUAACUCCCCGAAAGGGGUGCUAAUACCGGAUAAUGUCUUCGGACCAAAGAUUUAUCGCCUUUGGAUGGGCCCGCGUUGGAUUAGCUAGUUGGUAGGGUAAAAGCCUACCAAGGCGACGAUCCAUAGCUGGUCUGAGAGGAUGAUCAGCCACACUGGGACUGAGACACGGCCCAGACUCCUACGGGAGGCAGCAGUGGGGAAUAUUGGACAAUGGGCGAAAGCCUGAUCCAGCAAUGCCGCGUGAGUGAUGAAGGCCUUAGGGUUGUAAAGCUCUUUUACCCGGGAUGAUAAUGACAGUACCGGGAGUAUAAGCUCCGGCUAACUCCGUG